AAGGAUCAUUAUUGAAAAUAAACCUGAUAGGUUGCUGCUGGCUCUCUCGGGGGCAUGUGCACACUUGUCAUUUUUAUAUCUCCACCUGUGCACCUUUUGUAAAUCUGAAUAUCUCUCUGAAUGCCUGCCAUUCAGGUUUGGGGAUUGAUUUUUUUCUCUCCUUACAUUUUCAGGUUUAUGUUUUUUCAUAUACCCCAUGUAUGUUAUAGAAUGUAAUAAAUGGGCCUUUGUGCCUAUAAAUUUAUACAACUUUCAGCAACGGAUCUCUUGGCUCUCGCAUCGAUGAAGAACGCAGCGAAAUGCGAUAAGUAAUGUGAAUUGCAGAAUUCAGUGAAUCAUCGAAUCUUUGAACGCACCUUGCGCUCCUUGGUAUUCCGAGGAGCAUGCCUGUUUGAGUGUCAUUAAUAUAUCAACCUCUUCAGCUUUUGCAUGUUGAGUGUUGGAUGUGGGGGUAUUUUUGCUGGACUCUUUCCGAGGUCAGCUCCCCUAAAAUGCAUUAGCAAAACAAUUUGUUUACUGCUCAUUGGUGUGAUAACUAUCUACGCUAUUGACAGUCAAGCAGGUUUAGCUUCUAACAGUCCAUUAACUGGGACAAACCCAUUUUAUUAAUGUGACCUCAAAUCACGGUAGGAUUACCCGCUGAACUUAA
This 649-nucleotide ribosomal RNA is filed under the name uncultured fungus. Its description in RNAcentral is "eukaryotic LSU rRNA". The stretch from base 248 to 401 matches the Rfam family "5.8S ribosomal RNA". Lineage: Eukaryota; Fungi. The record is from RNAcentral.